RNAcentral lists this ribosomal RNA (774 nucleotides) under uncultured bacterium. RNAcentral describes it as "bacterial SSU rRNA". It matches the Rfam family "Bacterial small subunit ribosomal RNA", at positions 8 to 796 of the family's 1533-position model. The record is from RNAcentral.
AGAGUUUGAUCAUGGCUCAGGAUGAACGCUGGCGGCGUGCUUAACACAUGCAAGUCGAACGAAGUCCAUGGAGCUUGCUCCAGAAGACUUAGUGGCGAACGGGUGCGUAACACGUGAGAAACCUGCCCUGGACUUUGGGAUAACAGUUGGAAACGACUGCUAAUACCGAAUACCACCAUUUCCUCGCAUGGGGAGAUGAUGAAAGGUCCGCCGGUCCAGGAGGGUCUCACGGCCUAUCAGCUUGUUGGAGAGGUAACGGCUCACCAAGGCAUCGACGGGUAGCUGGUCUGAGAGGAUGAUCAGCCACACUGGGACUGAGACACGGCCCAGACUCCUACGGGAGGCAGCAGUGGGGAAUCUUGCACAAUGGGCGCAAGCCUGAUGCAGCAACGCCGCGUGCGGGAAGAAGGCCCUAGGGUUGUAAACCGCUUUCAGUAGGGAAGAAAAUGACGGUACCUACAGAAGAAGGUGCGGCCAACUACGUGCCAGCAGCCGCGGUAACACGUAGGCACCAAGCGUUAUCCGGAUUUAUUGGGCGUAAAGAGCUCGUAGGCGGUUCAGUCAGUCGGGUGUGAAAACUUGAGGCUUAACCUCAAGAGGUCACUCGAUACUACUGUGACUAGAGUGCGGUAGGGGAGCGGGGAAUUCCUGGUGUAGCGGUGAAAUGCGCGAUAUCAGGAGGAACACCAGUGGCGAAGGCGCCGCUCUGGGCCGUAACUGACGCUGAGGAGCGAAAGCAUGGGUAGCAAACAGGAUUAGAUACCCUAGUAGUCC